CCUACGGGAGGCAGCAGUGGGGAAUAUUGCACAAUGGGCGAAAGCCUGAUGCAGCGACGCCGCGUGAGGGAUGACGGCCUUCGGGUUGUAAACCUCUUUCAGUAGGGAAGAAGCGAAAGUGACGGUACCUGCAGAAGAAGCGCCGGCCAACUACGUGCCAGCAGCCGCGGUAAUACGUAGGGCGCAAGCGUUAUCCGGAAUUAUUGGGCGUAAAGAGCUCGUAGGCGGUUUGUCGCGUCUGCCGUGAAAGUCCGGGGCUCGACUCCGGAUCUGCGGUGGGUACGGGCAGACCAGAGUGAUGUAGGGGAGACUGGAAUUCCUGGUGUAGCGGUGAAAUGCGCAGAUAUCAGGAGGAACACCGAUGGCGAAGGCAGGUCUCUGGGCAUUAACUGACGCUGAGGAGCGAAAGCAUGGGGAGCGAACAGGAUUAGAUACCCUGGUAGUCCAUGCCGUAAACGUUGGGCACUAGGUGUGGGGGACAUUCCACGUUUUCCGCGCCGUAGCUAACGCAUUAAGUGCCCCGCCUGGGGNGGACGGCCGCGACGACGUAACUACGAAGAAGUAGACGGCGUGAGACGUCGCGACGACGACGACGAGGGAGAGG
This 604-nucleotide ribosomal RNA is filed under the name uncultured bacterium. RNAcentral describes it as "bacterial SSU rRNA". The stretch from base 1 to 525 matches the Rfam family "Bacterial small subunit ribosomal RNA", at positions 338 to 873 of the family's 1533-position model. The record is from RNAcentral.